Molecule: long non-coding RNA, 204 nt
Filed under: Prunus persica (peach)
Lineage: Eukaryota; Viridiplantae; Streptophyta; Magnoliopsida; Rosales; Rosaceae
Description: long non-coding RNA (PPER_LNC001131)
Source: RNAcentral
GGAAGUGCAAUAAUCACAAAGGGUUAAUCCAAAUACGGAGGACUACAUCAACAACACCAGUUGCACAAAUGUAUGUCUCCACACAUAGCUAUAAAGGGCCAAAGAAGUUCCAACAUAUAAAUUACAAGUUUAUAAAAAUCAAGCAUAGACCGUGAGUUUUCUGAUCAAGGGGCUAGAGUUCCGUGAGUUUUCCAUUAAGCCGUA